GUAGGGAAUAUUGCACAAUGGGCGAAAGCCUGAUGCAGCAACGCCGCGUGCACGAUGAAGGCCUUCGGGUCGUAAAGUGCUUUUCGGGGAGACGAGGAAGGACGGUAUCCCCGGAAUAAGGAUCGGCUAACUACGUGCCAGCAGCCGCGGUAAAACGUAGGAUCCGAGCGUUAUCCGAAUUCACUGGGCGUAAAGCGCGUGCAGGCGGAUCAGUAAGUUGGAUGUAAAAUCUCCUGGCUCAACUGGGAGGGGACGUACAAGACUGCUGGACUAGAGGAUGGCAGAGGAAGGUGGAAUUCCCGGUGUAGUGGUGAAAUGCGUAGAUAUCGGGAGGAACACCAGAGGCGAAGGCGGCCUUCUGGGCCAUACCUGACGCUCAGACGCGAAAGCUAGGGUAGCAAACGGGAUUAGAAACCCCAGUAGUCC
RNAcentral lists this ribosomal RNA (426 nucleotides) under uncultured bacterium. Its description in RNAcentral is "bacterial SSU rRNA". It matches the Rfam family "Bacterial small subunit ribosomal RNA", at positions 354 to 796 of the family's 1533-position model. The record is from RNAcentral.